Molecule: ribosomal RNA, 253 nt
Filed under: uncultured bacterium
Lineage: Bacteria
Description: partial 16S ribosomal RNA
Rfam family: Bacterial small subunit ribosomal RNA
Source: RNAcentral
UACGGAGGGUGCAAGCGUUGUCCGGAUUCAUUGGGUUUAAAGGGUGCGCAGGCGGGACAUUAAGUCAGGGGGGAAAGACGGUUGCUCAACAAUCGCAGUGCCUUUGAUACUGGUGUUCUUGGGUGACGGUGAGGUAGGCGGAAUGGGUGGUGUAGCGGUGAAAUGCAUAGAUACCACCCAGAACUCCGAUUGCGAAGGCAGCCUACUGGUCGUUAACCGACGCUCAGGCACGAAAGCGUGGGGAUCAAACAGG